Molecule: transfer RNA, 100 nt
Filed under: Pyrinomonadaceae bacterium
Lineage: Bacteria; Pseudomonadati; Acidobacteriota; Blastocatellia; Blastocatellales; Pyrinomonadaceae
Description: tRNA-Sec
Rfam family: Selenocysteine transfer RNA
Source: RNAcentral
GGAGGCGAAUCCGUUCUGGUGAACGGCGCGGUCUUCAAAACCGCUCGUGAGACACGCGAAAGCACGCUCAGGUGGGUUCGAUUCCCACACGCCUCCGCCA